RNAcentral lists this transfer RNA (75 nucleotides) under Desulfurococcaceae archaeon. Its description in RNAcentral is "tRNA-Cys". It matches the Rfam family "tRNA". From Rfam's summary of the family: Transfer RNA (tRNA) molecules are approximately 80 nucleotides in length. Their secondary structure includes four short double-helical elements and three loops (D, anti-codon, and T loops). Lineage: Archaea; Thermoproteati; Thermoproteota; Thermoprotei; Desulfurococcales; Desulfurococcaceae. The record is from RNAcentral.
GCCGGGGUGGCCGAGCGGCCUAAGGCGGCGGGCUGCAGACCCGCUACACCGCGGGUUCGAAUCCCGCCCCCGGCU